AGCAGCCGCCACGGUAAAACGGAGGGAGCUAGCGUUAUUCGGAAUUACUGGGCGUAAAGCGCACGUAGGCGGCUUUGUAAGUAAGAGGUGAAAGCCCGGGGCUCAACCCCGGAUGUGCCUUUGAGACUGCAGAGCUAGAGUAUGGCAGAGGGGGGUAGAAUUCCACGUGUAGCAGUGAAACGCGUAGAGAUGUGGAGGAAUACCGAUGGCGAAGGCGGCCCCCUGGGCCAAUACUGACGCUCAUGCACGAAAGCGUGGGGAGCAAACAGGAUUAGAUACCCGCGUAGUCCCUGUCUCUUAUAC
This 303-nucleotide ribosomal RNA is filed under the name uncultured bacterium. RNAcentral's name for it is "partial 16S ribosomal RNA". It matches the Rfam family "Bacterial small subunit ribosomal RNA", at positions 507 to 807 of the family's 1533-position model. The record is from RNAcentral.